RNAcentral lists this ribosomal RNA (489 nucleotides) under uncultured bacterium. RNAcentral's name for it is "partial 16S ribosomal RNA". It matches the Rfam family "Bacterial small subunit ribosomal RNA", at positions 899 to 1397 of the family's 1533-position model. The record is from RNAcentral.
ACUCAAAGGAAUUGACGGGGGCCCGCACAAGCAGCGGAGCGUGUGGUUUAAUUCGAUGCAACGCGAAGAACCUCACCUAGGCUUGACAUGCUUCAAGUAGAACCCUGAAAGGGGAACGACCCGUUGAGUCGGGAGGGAGCACAGGUGCUGCAUGGCUGUCGUCAGCUCGUGCCGUGAGGUGUUGGGUUAAGUCCCGCAACGAGCGCAACCCUCGCUGGUAGUUACGAUGUCUACCGGGACCGCCGGUUUCAAACCGGAGGAAGGUGGGGAUGACGUCAAGUCAGCACGGCCCUUACGCCUAGGGCUACACACACGCUACAAUGGCCGGUACAAUGGGACGCCAAGGGGUGACCCGGAGCCAAUCCUCUCAAAGCCGGUCUCAGUUGGGAUUGCAGGCUGCAACUCGCCUGCAUGAACGCGGAGUUGCUAGUAACCGCAGGUCAGCACACUGCGGUGAAUACGUUCCCGGGCCUUGCACACACCGCCCGU